This 239-nucleotide long non-coding RNA is filed under the name Lathyrus oleraceus (garden pea). RNAcentral's name for it is "Pisum sativum (pea) long non-coding RNA (PSAT_LNC009567)". The record is from RNAcentral. Lineage: Eukaryota; Viridiplantae; Streptophyta; Magnoliopsida; Fabales; Fabaceae.
UCAGAGGGUAAACCUUCACAAAAGGAAGGUAGCAUGUGUACCUCUUCCUCAGAAGACACCUAUAACGACCUCCAUCGGCCUCAGCCAAAGUCUAAGGCAACACAUGACCAGAAGAUAAUCCUAAGGACCUCAUCCCGGAUAAAAUCUUCAACUCCAUCUCCAUUUGAACCCCAGAAAAUGCCUCAACAUUUCCUUUUCUCCAUUUGAACCCCGAAAAUUGCGCUGAUCGCAAAACGUCC